UACGAAGGGUGCAAGCGUUACUCGGAAUUACUGGGCGUAAAGCGUGCGUAGGUGGUUUGUUAAGUCUGUUGUGAAGGCCCCGGGCUCAACCUGGGAAUGGCAAUGGAUACUGGCAGGCUAGAGUGCGGUAGAGGGUAGUGGAAUUCCCGGUGUAGCGGUGAAAUGCGUAGAGAUCGGGAGGAACACCAGUGGCGAAGGCGGCUACCUGGACCAGCACUGACACUGAGGCACGAAAGCGUGGGGAGCAAACAGG
This 253-nucleotide ribosomal RNA is filed under the name uncultured bacterium. RNAcentral's name for it is "partial 16S ribosomal RNA". It matches the Rfam family "Bacterial small subunit ribosomal RNA", at positions 524 to 776 of the family's 1533-position model. The record is from RNAcentral.